This 95-nucleotide ribosomal RNA is filed under the name uncultured bacterium. RNAcentral's name for it is "partial 16S ribosomal RNA". The record is from RNAcentral.
CGGGUUGUAAAGCCCUGUGGGAGGGACGAAUAAGGCAAGGUGAACAAUCUUGUUGAUGACGGUACCUCCUUAGCAAGCACCGGCUAACUCUGUGC